Molecule: long non-coding RNA, 801 nt
Filed under: Bos taurus (domestic cattle)
Lineage: Eukaryota; Metazoa; Chordata; Mammalia; Artiodactyla; Bovidae
Description: long non-coding RNA NONBTAT026838
Source: RNAcentral
UGAUUAAAGGGGGCAGGUAUUUAAGAUAAAGCUUUGGAUAUCUUAUUUGCAGUAAGUACUCUGUAGUCAACCUGUGCUUCUAGGUUUUCUGUAACAUUAGGAAAAUUGACACCGGAUAGAGCCUGUUUUUACCUUAAGUAUAUUACAUAUGAGUUUAAGUGUGAGCCAAAGUCAUACACACCAUCUGCAGUUCCAAUUGGUAACCUGAAUUUAGAAGUUCCUCAAUUCCAAGUCUCCUUAACAGUGAGCAAAAACAGGUUAAAUUUAUUUGAACAACUUGCUAUCAUAAAUUACACCAUCUGAGCUGAUUUGUGUGUGUUCUGGUCCUUAACAAAAGUAUGUAAUAUACUUAAUUUAAAAACGAAUGACUUCUAGAUGUGAAAACUUGACAUUUUAAAAGGCUGUGAAUUUUUCUCCUUGGAGGGAGAUCCCACCUUGGCUGCUUUGAGGGCUUGUGAAUCCUUUCCCCCUCCACUUGAGGAAGAGUGGUCUGUGCUGUGAUCAGGAUCUAGGGAAAGUGAAUGGAAAGAGUUACUUUUGUUUGUUUGUGCAAAUUAUUUUCUCUAACUCUUAAGCAAGCAUUAAUGUAUAACUGAAAAUUUUAAGAUGCAUGUUAUUGUAAGAGCAACAUAGCAGUGAUUUUGAGGUCUUUUUCUGAACACAAAUGGCACAUUUUAAACUUCAAGUCUUCAAAGUGCCUACAGAUUAUUUAAUUCUCCCUCAACUGAUUUCUUGAGCCAUAUAUAUAUUUCCCACUUUAAAUGUUUGUUGCAGAAUCACUAGUCUUCCUUUCAGAGAAGU